UAUCAAUCUGCUGGGGGCUGAUGAAGUGGAUGUGGGUGUCGAUGCCCCCCGCCGUGACGAUGAGUCCCUCGGCGGCGAUGGCCUCUGUGGAGGCCCCCACGAUGAGCCCCUCCGUCACCCCGUCCAUCAGGUCAGGGUUGCCCGCCUUGCCGAUGCCGGCGAUGCGGCCGUCCUUGAUCCCCACGUCGGCCUUCACCACCCCGAGGAUGGAAUCCAGGACGAGGGCAUUCGUCAGCACCAGGUCGAGGCAGUCCGCG
This 257-nucleotide small RNA is filed under the name uncultured Mitsuokella sp. Its description in RNAcentral is "5' ureB small RNA". It matches the Rfam family "5' ureB small RNA", at positions 4 to 257 of the family's 292-position model. The record is from RNAcentral. Lineage: Bacteria; Bacillati; Bacillota; Negativicutes; Selenomonadales; Selenomonadaceae.